AGAGUUUGAUCCUGGCUCAGGAUGAACGCUGGCGGUCUGCUUAACACAUGCAAGUCGAACGGACUCUUCGGAGUUAGUGGCGGACGGGUGAGUAACGCGUGAGAAUCUACCUUCAGGACGGAGACAACAGUUGGAAACGACUGCUAACCCCCGAUGAACCGAAAGGGCAAAUAUUUAUAGCCUGAAGAAGAGCUCGCGUCCGAUUAGCUAGUUGGAGAGGUAAAAGCUCACCAAGGCGACGAUCGGUAGCUGGUCUGAGAGGACGAUCAGCCACACUGGGACUGAGACACGGCCCAGACUCCUACGGGAGGCAGCAGUGGGGAAUUUUCCGCAAUGGGCGCAAGCCUGACGGAGCAAGACCGCGUGGGGGAGGAAGGCUCUUGGGUUGUAAACCCCUUUUCUCUGGGAAGAACAAAAUGACGGUACCAGUAGAAUCAGCACCGCUCCCC
Molecule: ribosomal RNA, 449 nt
Filed under: uncultured cyanobacterium
Lineage: Bacteria; Bacillati; Cyanobacteriota
Description: bacterial SSU rRNA
Rfam family: Bacterial small subunit ribosomal RNA
Source: RNAcentral